Molecule: long non-coding RNA, 267 nt
Filed under: Medicago truncatula (barrel medic)
Lineage: Eukaryota; Viridiplantae; Streptophyta; Magnoliopsida; Fabales; Fabaceae
Description: lncRNA gene3303
Source: RNAcentral
GGGGUGAUUCAUAAAUAGUGUAAAUAGACAUUCUAGAUUACUUUUGUGAGAUUGACCGAACAAUCCUAUCAUUUGUUUAAAGAGUAUUGCUAACAAGUGUCUGAGAGCAUUAAGGCACUUGUUAGCAUUUUCCUUGUUUAAAUCCCUCUUAAUUGUAAUUUUUUUGUAAUGAGUUAGAGUAUCCGUUGUACUCUCUAUUAAUAUAAUCUUUGCAUAUCUAAAAAACAUAAAGAUAAAAAUGGUGUUGAUAAAUGCAAAAUAAAUUAC